UGAAUGUAAUUAGGCUUUUUCCUGGUAAAAGAUUAGACGCAUGCAAAGGAUUUAUUAGGGGCAAGAUUCUCCUCUGCUAGCUGUUGAGAUGAAGUGGGGCAGUGGCAAGGAAACUGGGCAGCCUUUAGAAGCUGAGAGUAACCCCUGACUGACUGAUAGCAAAGAAAGAGGAGAAAUUAAAUUCUGCCCAGUGAGCUUGGAAGAGAACCCUGAGCUCCAUGUGAAAACAGAGCAGCAGCUAACACCCUGACUCUAGCUUUGUGGGAACCUAAACAGAGAAGCUAGUCAAAGCUAUGGUUUUUCCAGUAGAAUUGAUGCUUUUGAACUUUGGUGUUGGAGAAGACUCUUGAGGGUCCCUUGGACUGCAAGGAGAUCCAAUCAAUCCAUCCUAAAGGAAAUCAGUCCUGAAUAUUCAUUGGAAGGACUGAUGCUGAAGCUGAAACUCCAAUACUUUGGCCACCUGAUGAGAAGAACUGACUCACUGGAAAAAACCCUGAUGCCGGGAACGAUUGAAGGCAAGAGGAGAAGGGGACAACAGAGGAUGAGACGGUUGGAUGGCAUCACUGACUCAAUGGACAUGAGUUUGAGCCAUCUCCAGGAGUUGGUGACGGACAGGGAAGCCUAGCGUGCUGCAGUCCAUGGGGUCACAAAGAGUCGGACACUGAACUGAACUGACUGAAACAGAACCAGCCACGCUUUGUCAAGCUGCUAACUUUGUGGUAAUUUGUUAUACAGCCAUAGAAAAUGAAUACAGGUGGUCAUUUGAAAGAGAGAGACUGCCUGGACAAAGGCGCAGAGGUGUAGAGCAGCAAAAGGUAUGUUUGGGGAACUGAAGUCAUUCGGUGCAGACGGACCAUGGGGAGCAAAGGGGAUUAUAAAAUGUGAUACUGGGAACUCGGUUUUGUGUCAGAGAGACUGUGCCCUCGGGCUAGUUAACUUAGUUCUCUGCCCUGUGCCUCAGUCUUCUCAAAGUUAAAAUGGGGCUAAUGAUAGUAGUUAAAAUAAAAAGUUGUUUAGUGGGCCAAAUGCACAUGGAGGAGUCAACACAGUCUUCAGAUGUGAAGGAGCAGCGUGAACACCCACAUCCGGACAAUCUGUCCUUGGACAUGUACCAGGCAGCAUUUUCAGAGAGAAAUUCAGUGGCUGAAGCCCGCUCUGGGGUCCCCACUCAAGAGAGGAGAGGAAGGAAGCAGACAACAGAUACCAGAAUCACACUGCCUGGUCCACACCCUUCAUCCUGUGCCUACCUUGGUAACGUCUCCGUGCCUCAGCUUCCUUGUCUGUAAAAUGAGGGUAACUGUAAUAACCUCCCUCAUAAGGAUGUUAACAAAUAGAUGUUACAUACAAAUACUUGUGUAUUUAUUUUUUAAAUGGUUACUGGUAUCUGCCAAGAACUAGGAGAGAUUUGAGGAUUUACGCUAUUCGUAAGCUAACAAAUUAGUCUGCUCCUCUUUCAUGAGUGCUGGCCGAUAACACAAGACUCCUGGCCAGAGGCAAAUAC
Bos taurus (domestic cattle) is the source of this 1501-nucleotide long non-coding RNA. Lineage: Eukaryota; Metazoa; Chordata; Mammalia; Artiodactyla; Bovidae. The record is from Ensembl.